RNAcentral lists this long non-coding RNA (1147 nucleotides) under Homo sapiens (human). RNAcentral describes it as "long non-coding RNA NONHSAT172826.1". Lineage: Eukaryota; Metazoa; Chordata; Mammalia; Primates; Hominidae. The record is from RNAcentral.
CCUGGGGCUCCCCACCCGCCCCAGGUGAUGCUGCUGCACCCACCCCAGAGUCAUGGGGGGCCCCCCCAAGGCGCGGUGCCCCAGAGUGGGGUGCCUGCACUCUCAGCUUCCACACCCUCACCCUACCCCUACAUCGGACACCCCCAAGGUGAGCAGCCUGGCCAGGCGCCUGGAUUUCCAGGAGGAGCCGAUGACAGGAUUCGUGAGUUCUCAUUAGCUGGGGGAAUUUGGCAUGGAAGAGCUGAGGGGCUGCAGGUGGGGCAGGAUGCACGGGUUCUGGGUGGGGAGUGAGGGGUCUUGGAGGCAGGGCUGUCCCACAGGGCGCCCGCCGACCUGCACCUGUCUGUGAAGUAUGUAGGGUGGGCAGAAGCCACAGUCGCCGCCGCCAGGGGCUUGCUCCUGGCUCUGUCCUUUGCUUCCCUCCGUCCUCGCUCAGUUGUGAUCCAGCAGCCCCCCUCCCCACUGCCUCCCCAGCUCUCAGUGACCCCGACUGUCUCCUGACUUAGCCGAGCCCCCGAGACACCUUGAGGAGGCCGCUCCUUCCCAGACACACCCCCACGCCCCCACUGGACGGCAUUGGAGGAAGGGACAGCUGCUUGGGUUCUAAUGCUCCUGCUCUCUUCUCUUUCCCCUCCAACCAGUUCAAUCUCAUCCCUCCCAGCAGCUCCCCUUCCACCCCCCGGGGAACUGAAGAUUGUCCUGGCCGCGACCUGAGACCUCCAUGAGUGGAGGGAAGAGUGAUCUAUGUCUCUUCCCCCAGCAGCUCGGACCACUCCCAGCCCCCCAUCCCCCCGUUCCCCAGGGGAGCUGGGGAAUUCCUGCCAAGCACCUUGAAUGGGAGGGGCCUCACAGAGGGCAGGGCCAGGGUCCAGCAGGGGUGGGGGGUUCCUGCUCUGCCCCUGCCCGUCCCCACCCAGUCUUGCCCUCCCAUCCUCUCAUCUAUUCCCCCGCUGGAGACGGAAGAUCUUUUAUUUUCUAUUAUUUAUAACUUCAGACUUGGGCCCCCUGUUCUUUCUUUCCCAUUAACUUGAGUGACCUGUGUGAGAGACAGACAGAUGCCCCACGAGGAUGGCUGGACAAGGACUUUUACUUUUUAUUACAUAAAAAUAUUAAAAAAUAAAUAAAAAAAAUAAAAUUUUAAACUAAC